RNAcentral lists this ribosomal RNA (495 nucleotides) under uncultured Lachnospiraceae bacterium. Its description in RNAcentral is "bacterial SSU rRNA". It matches the Rfam family "Bacterial small subunit ribosomal RNA", at positions 27 to 507 of the family's 1533-position model. Lineage: Bacteria; Bacillati; Bacillota; Clostridia; Lachnospirales; Lachnospiraceae. The record is from RNAcentral.
GGAUGAACGCUGCGGCGUGCUUAACUACAUAGCAAGUCGAAACGAAGACACCUUGUCAGCAGACUGGAGAGCUUGCUCAAGGGAAGCGAGCAUUUGACUGAGUGGCGGACGGGUGAGUAACGCGUGGAUAACCUGCCUCAUACAGGGGAGUAACAGUUGGAAACGGCUGUUAAUACCGCAUAAGCGCACGAAACCGCAUGGUUUUGUGUGAAAAACUCCGGUGGUAUGAGAUGGGUCCGCGUCUGAUUAGCUAGUUGGCAGGGUAACGGCCUACCAAGGCGACGAUCAGUAGCCGGCCUGAGAGGGUGUACGGCCACAUUGGGACUGAGACACGGCCCAAACUCCUACGGGAGGCAGCAGUGGGGAAUAUUGCACAAUGGGGGAAACCCUGAUGCAGCGACGCCGCGUGGGUGAAGAAGUAUUUCGGUAUGUAAAGCCCUAUCAGCAGGGAAGAAAAUGGCGGUACCUGACUAAGAAGCCCCGGCUAACUACGUG